UCAGGGCUCAGGGCUCAGAAGGAAAGGCAGAGCCCAGUGAGGCCAGAGUUAGUGAGACAUCUGAAAGGUGUUCAGUGAAAAAAGUGCAUCCCCCUUUCAUUCUACCUGAUGAACCCUGUCCUGCACAGCUUCCUCCACCCUGAGGACUUCCCCAGACAUCCUCUCUAACAAGACUGAUGGUUCCAUUUCCUUCCUGCUCACACUGAGGCCUGUCCUGCCUUCUGGGAAAUGAAAAAUGCACCAAAAUCAGCCAGAGUAGCCACCCCUGCCAGGAUCCAUAAUGAGGCAAUGUCCCCGGGCCAACAGGAGAAUGAGCUUCCACUGUGUCCCAGACCAGGGCUCUUUCUCUCUGAGAGGCUGACUCAUGAAACAGGCCACCUGAAAGAGAUCAGUGACUCCUCCAUCCAUUCUUACAAUCACCUGACAGGUUCUUGCCCUCUGCACAGGCAAAGCCAAUUUAUUGUGAAGGUGAUGUGUAGUAAAGAAUAGUUUUACUUAGCCCAAGGCUGCCAAACAGGAGGACAGAAGUUUAUCAUGACUCAAAUCAGCUUCCCCAAUGGCUCAGAGGUUAGAUUUUUUCAAAAACUUUGAAGGGGCAAAGGUCUAAGGAAUAAGUACUGUUGACUGGCUGGAGAUGAAAUGAUGCAGGUAGGAAAAUGGUAUGUAUUUGUUGAAUCUGCCUCUGAGUGGGGACUACAUGACUGGUUGAGCCAUUGGUCAUGAGUCUAGAUGAGGUCAGCUGGUUGCCAGAAUGCAAAAGUCUGAGAAACAUCUCAAAAGAUAAAUCUCAGAUUCUACAGUAGUCUUGCUAUCUAUAGGAGCAACUAGGAAAGUCACAAAUCUUGUGACCUCUGGACACAUGACUCCUGAGCAGUAAGGGAUUAUAGAAACUAUGCCUGCAUUUUAGCAGAAUUUGGGCCCCUCCCAUAAUUCAUGGUCUUUUCUUAGAUUUACCAAGGUAGCCCCCGACAAGGAGGAGCUAAUUUUAGGGAGGGACUAUUAUCAUCCUUGCUUCAAAGUUAAACUAUAAAUUCCUCCCAUGCUUACCCUGGCCUAUGCCCAGGAAUCAGAGAAGAGAGCCAGUUUGAGGCUAGAGGUGAGAUGCGGGCAGCCAAGCUAGCUUCCUCUCUCCAUCAUAUGCUUUGCAAUGGUGGUUUCACUUUCUACAUGGACUCACCAGGGGGUCAGAGGCAGAAGGACAGAUCUGCAGUUUCCAAAGCCCACGGGCUCAUUUCACCCAUUUCACUCAUGACUCCCUCCUCAACCUGCUGUGGGGCUCAUAUCCUCCUGUCAUGCCCUAGAGACUUCGAAUUUCCAUCAGGCAU
Molecule: long non-coding RNA, 1325 nt
Filed under: Homo sapiens (human)
Lineage: Eukaryota; Metazoa; Chordata; Mammalia; Primates; Hominidae
Description: HSALNT0260296
Source: RNAcentral